RNAcentral lists this unclassified non-coding RNA (198 nucleotides) under uncultured fungus. Its description in RNAcentral is "sequence contains ITS1". Lineage: Eukaryota; Fungi. The record is from RNAcentral.
GUACAUUAGUGCUUGCACACAACAAUAAUUUCAUUACAUUUGAGUUGGUGUAAAAAUCCUCAGCCAGCCGAAGUGAGCAAGAGGCCAGAGGUUCACAGGGUAUUGGAUGAAAGUCACCAACAUGCACUUGCCAGAGCCAGCACAGAAGGCAAUGAUUCACAGUCAAUAAUGAUCCUUCCGCAGGUUCACCUACAGAAA